GGGUUGUGAGGUUAAGCGACUAAGCGUACACGGUGGAUGCCCUGGCAGUCAGAGGCGAUGAAGGACGUGCUAAUCUGCGAUAAGCGUCGGUAAGGUGAUAUGAACCGUUAUAACCGGCGAUUUCCGAAUGGGGAAACCCAGUGUGUUUCGACACACUAUCAUUAACUGAAUCCAUAGGUUAAUGAGGCGAACCGGGGGAACUGAAACAUCUAAGUACCCCGAGGAAAAGAAAUCAACCGAGAUUCCCCCAGUAGCGGCGAGCGAACGGGGAGGAGCCCAGAGCCUGAAUCAGUGUGUGUGUUAGUGGAAGCGUCUGGAAAGGCGCGCGAUACAGGGUGACAGCCCCGUACACAAAAAUGCACAUGCUGUGAGCUCGAUGAGUAGGGCGGGACACGUGGUAUCCUGUCUGAAUAUGGGGGGACCAUCCUCCAAGGCUAAAUACUCCUGACUGACCGAUAGUGAACCAGUACCGUGAGGGAAAGGCGAAAAGAACCCCGGCGAGGGGAGUGAAAAAGAACCUGAAACCGUGUACGUACAAGCAGUGGGAGCACGCUUAGGCGUGUGACUGCGUACCUUUUGUAUAAUGGGUCAGCGACUUAUAUUCUGUAGCAAGGUUAACCGAAUAGGGGAGCCGAAGGGAAACCGAGUCUUAACUGGGCGUUAAGUUGCAGGGUAUAGACCCGAAACCCGGUGAUCUAGCCAUGGGCAGGUUGAAGGUUGGGUAACACUAACUGGAGGACCGAACCGACUAAUGUUGAAAAAUUAGCGGAUGACUUGUGGCUGGGGGUGAAAGGCCAAUCAAACCGGGAGAUAGCUGGUUCUCCCCGAAAGCUAUUUAGGUAGCGCCUCGUGAAUUCAUCUCCGGGGGUAGAGCACUGUUUCGGCAAGGGGGUCAUCCCGACUUACCAACCCGAUGCAAACUGCGAAUACCGGAGAAUGUUAUCACGGGAGACACACGGCGGGUGCUAACGUCCGUCGUGAAGAGGGAAACAACCCAGACCGCCAGCUAAGGUCCCAAAGUCAUGGUUAAGUGGGAAACGAUGUGGGAAGGCCCAGACAGCCAGGAUGUUGGCUUAGAAGCAGCCAUCAUUUAAAGAAAGCGUAAUAGCUCACUGGUCGAGUCGGCCUGCGCGGAAGAUGUAACGGGGCUAAACCAUGCACCGAAGCUGCGGCAGCGACGCUUAUGCGUUGUUGGGUAGGGGAGCGUUCUGUAAGCCUGUGAAGGUGUGCUGUGAGGCAUGCUGGAGGUAUCAGAAGUGCGAAUGCUGACAUAAGUAACGAUAAAGCGGGUGAAAAGCCCGCUCGCCGGAAGACCAAGGGUUCCUGUCCAACGUUAAUCGGGGCAGGGUGAGUCGACCCCUAAGGCGAGGCCGAAAGGCGUAGUCGAUGGGAAACAGGUUAAUAUUCCUGUACUUGGUGUUACUGCGAAGGGGGGACGGAGAAGGCUAUGUUGGCCGGGCGACGGUUGUCCCGGUUUAAGCGUGUAGGCUGGUUUUCCAGGCAAAUCCGGAAAAUCAAGGCUGAGGCGUGAUGACGAGGCACUACGGUGCUGAAGCAACAAAUGCCCUGCUUCCAGGAAAAGCCUCUAAGCAUCAGGUAACAUCAAAUCGUACCCCAAACCGACACAGGUGGUCAGGUAGAGAAUACCAAGGCGCUUGAGAGAACUCGGGUGAAGGAACUAGGCAAAAUGGUGCCGUAACUUCGGGAGAAGGCACGCUGAUAUGUAGGUGAAGUCCCUCGCGGAUGGAGCUGAAAUCAGUCGAAGAUACCAGCUGGCUGCAACUGUUUAUUAAAAACACAGCACUGUGCAAACACGAAAGUGGACGUAUACGGUGUGACGCCUGCCCGGUGCCGGAAGGUUAAUUGAUGGGGUCAGCGCAAGCGAAGCUCUUGAUCGAAGCCCCGGUAAACGGCGGCCGUAACUAUAACGGUCCUAAGGUAGCGAAAUUCCUUGUCGGGUAAGUUCCGACCUGCACGAAUGGCGUAAUGAUGGCCAGGCUGUCUCCACCCGAGACUCAGUGAAAUUGAACUCGCUGUGAAGAUGCAGUGUACCCGCGGCAAGACGGAAAGACCCCGUGAACCUUUACUAUAGCUUGACACUGAACAUUGAGCCUUGAUGUGUAGGAUAGGUGGGAGGCUUAGAAGUGUGGACGCCAGUCUGCAUGGAGCCGACCUUGAAAUACCACCCUUUAAUGUUUGAUGUUCUAACGUUGACCCGUAAUCCGGGUUGCGGACAGUGUCUGGUGGGUAGUUUGACUGGGGCGGUCUCCUCCUAAAGAGUAACGGAGGAGCACGAAGGUUGGCUAAUCCUGGUCGGACAUCAGGAGGUUAGUGCAAUGGCAUAAGCCAGCUUGACUGCGAGCGUGACGGCGCGAGCAGGUGCGAAAGCAGGUCAUAGUGAUCCGGUGGUUCUGAAUGGAAGGGCCAUCGCUCAACGGAUAAAAGGUACUCCGGGGAUAACAGGCUGAUACCGCCCAAGAGUUCAUAUCGACGGCGGUGUUUGGCACCUCGAUGUCGGCUCAUCACAUCCUGGGGCUGAAGUAGGUCCCAAGGGUAUGGCUGUUCGCCAUUUAAAGUGGUACGCGAGCUGGGUUUAGAACGUCGUGAGACAGUUCGGUCCCUAUCUGCCGUGGGCGCUGGAGAACUGAGGGGGGCUGCUCCUAGUACGAGAGGACCGGAGUGGACGCAUCACUGGUGUUCGGGUUGUCAUGCCAAUGGCACUGCCCGGUAGCUAAAUGCGGAAGAGAUAAGUGCUGAAAGCAUCUAAGCACGAAACUUGCCCCGAGAUGAGUUCUCCCUGACUCCUUGAGAGUCCUGAAGGAACGUUGAAGACGACGACGUUGAUAGGCCGGGUGUGUAAGCGCAG
This 2866-nucleotide ribosomal RNA is filed under the name Escherichia coli. RNAcentral describes it as "partial 23S ribosomal RNA". It matches the Rfam family "Bacterial large subunit ribosomal RNA". The record is from RNAcentral. Lineage: Bacteria; Pseudomonadati; Pseudomonadota; Gammaproteobacteria; Enterobacterales; Enterobacteriaceae.